RNAcentral lists this ribosomal RNA (396 nucleotides) under uncultured bacterium. RNAcentral's name for it is "bacterial SSU rRNA". It matches the Rfam family "Bacterial small subunit ribosomal RNA", at positions 361 to 774 of the family's 1533-position model. The record is from RNAcentral.
AUUUUGGGCAAUGGGCGAAAGCCUGACCCAGCAACGCCGCGUGAGGGAUGAAGUAUUUCGGUAUGUAAACCUCGAAAGAAUGGGAAGAAUAAAUGACGGUACCAUUUAUAAGCUCCGGCUAACUACGUGCCAGCAGCCGCGGUAAUACGUAGGGAGCAAGCGUUGUUCGGAUUUACUGGGCGUAAAGGGCGCGUAGGCGGCGCGGUAAGUCACUUGUGAAAUCUCUGAGCUUAACUCAGAACGGCCAAGUGAUACUGAUGUGCUAGAGUGCGGAAGAGGCAACCGGAAUUCUUGGUGUAGCGGUGAAAUGCGUAGAUAUCAAGAGGAACACCUGAGGCGAAGGCGGGUUGCUGGGCCGACACUGACGCUGAUGCGCGAAAGCCAGGGGAGCAAACG